GUGGGGAAAUGGGGGCUUAGCUGGGGGUGGGGGUACUGUAGGAGCCCAGCAGGGGGGUUGGGGCCUGUGGGUGCUCUAGGCAGCCAGCUGGGCCAGUAGGGACCUAUGGGCACUAUAGGGGCUCAGCUAGGGGUGUGAAGGCCUGUGGGGAUGUCUGGGUGCUAAGGGGCCCAGGCAGGCUUCUGGGUGCUAUAGGGGCUUGCUGAGGGUGUGGGGGCCUGUGGGUAUCUAUAGGAGCCCAUGUGGGCUAUGCAGAGAUGCAGCUGAGGCCAGGAGAGGCCAGGUGAUUUCCGAACGACUUCAGCACACGUCUUCUAAAUCCUGUUUUACUUCCCUGACCGCUGGACCAACCCACUCUGCGGGAGAACAGGAAUUCCCAGGCUCUCCUUCCUUGCUGUGGUGGGACCAAGCUUUCUACAGGGCAGUUCUGGCAGGGAUCGCUCACUCAAUCACCGCUGAAGCGCAGCCCUUUGAGGAGUGCGAUGUGCGUGCCGUAAGCUGGAGCAAGCGUUCAGUGGAGGAACAGAGAGGAAGCAAUUCAAUCAAUUCUGGUGACCCAGAGGCACUCUGGCUACAGUUGCAGGAACUCAAGUGA
Struthio camelus australis is the source of this 595-nucleotide long non-coding RNA. The record is from Ensembl. Lineage: Eukaryota; Metazoa; Chordata; Aves; Struthioniformes; Struthionidae.